RNAcentral lists this transfer RNA (76 nucleotides) under Mycoplasma haemofelis Ohio2. RNAcentral describes it as "tRNA-Trp (CCA) (tRNA-Trp-CCA-1-1)". It matches the Rfam family "tRNA". Rfam says of the family: Transfer RNA (tRNA) molecules are approximately 80 nucleotides in length. Their secondary structure includes four short double-helical elements and three loops (D, anti-codon, and T loops). Lineage: Bacteria; Bacillati; Mycoplasmatota; Mollicutes; Mycoplasmatales; Mycoplasmataceae. The record is from RNAcentral. RNAcentral also lists the same sequence under 2 other names.
AGGAGUGUAGUUCAAUUGGUAGAACGAUAGUCUCCAAAACUAUAUGUUGUGGGUUCAAGUCCUGCCACUCCUGCCA